RNAcentral lists this ribosomal RNA (438 nucleotides) under uncultured freshwater bacterium LCK-26. RNAcentral describes it as "bacterial SSU rRNA". It matches the Rfam family "Bacterial small subunit ribosomal RNA", at positions 28 to 508 of the family's 1533-position model. The record is from RNAcentral.
GAUGAACGCUGGCGGUAUGCUUAACACAUGCAAGUCGUACGAAGAUCUUUGAUCUUAGUGGCGGACGGGUGAGUAACACGUGAGAAUCUGCCCUUAGGAAGAGGAUAACAGCUGGAAACGGUUGCUAAUACUCUAUACGCCGAGAGGUAAAAGGAUUUAUCCACCUUAGGAAGAGCUCGCGUCUGAUUAGCUUGUUGGUAAGGUAACGGCUUACCAAGGCGACGAUCAGUAGCUGGUUUGAGAGGACGACCAGCCACACUGGGACUGAGACACGGCCCAGACUCCUACGGGAGGCAGCAGUGGGGAAUUUUCCGCAAUGGGCGAAAGCCUGACGGAGCAAUACCGCGUGAGGGAUGAAAGCCUGUGGGUUGUAAACCUCUUUUCUCAAGGAAGAAAUUCUGACGGUACUUGAGGAAUAAGCAUCGGCUAACUCUGUGC